This is a long non-coding RNA of Olea europaea var. sylvestris, 2278 nucleotides long. RefSeq lists it as uncharacterized. Lineage: Eukaryota; Viridiplantae; Streptophyta; Magnoliopsida; Lamiales; Oleaceae. The transcript is spliced from 2 exons. The record is from RefSeq and is a predicted model, not a curated record.
UUGAAUGGCGACAGAUGCACUGUAUUUCCCAAAGUUUGGAAAUAUAAGCAAUAAUUUUCCCAAAAAAAUCUUGCCUGAUUGAAUAUAUUGAACCUGCAUCUCAUAUGAUCAAAGAAUAUUAAGAAACAGCAUACUGAGCCGAGCAGUAGUGUCUCUUCAUCAUGGAUAAUCAUGGUCAGAAUAUGCAGCAACAUGGUAAAAGAUGCGUUUUAGUACUAUUUUCAUUGCCAUUCCAAGGAAAUAUAAAUCCCAUUAUUCAGCUGGCAAACAUCGUUCACCAUAAUGGUGUUGGGUUUAUGAUCCAAAUUAAGUCCAACAAGUGGUAUCAGAGCUUCGUUCUUCUUCUGAGGAUUGAUUGGGUUUUUAUUAAAGAUGACUACCAUGAAAUAUGACAUUCCGCUGUUGGAUCUCAAUACAAGGUUUUCUUUGUAGCAUGUAAAUAUGGGGUCUAUUCUGGCGCAGUUGAAUUUGGACAACAUGCUAUUGGGCUUUGAGAAGAUGUCAACUGAUUAGACAAUGAAGGAGAAACAAAGGAGGGAUCGGAAGGUUUUGUCGUUGAUUUAUCUUCAUCUAUCCAAUAAUAUUUUGAAGGAUGUAUUGAAGGAGAAAACAACAGCUACUUUGUGGUUGAAACUGGAGCAAUUAUGUAUGACCAAGAGUCUUAGCAAUAAACUGGCUCUAAAGCAGAAGUUGUAUUCACAUCGCAUGGCGAAAGGAGAGUAGUUGGAAGAUCAUAUUGUCGUGUUCAAGGAAAUCAUCGUAGAUUUGGAAACGUUGAAGGUUAAGUACGAUGAAGAGGAUCUUGCCUUGAUCCUGUUAUGUUCGCUGCCUGACUCUUAUGCAUCAUUUUGUGACACCAUUUUGUAUAGUAGAGAUACUUUGACUAUAGAUGACGUCUAUGAUGCUUUGCACUCAAAAGAGAAGUUGAAACAUUUGGUUGAGCUACAUCAAGGGAUGAGGAAGUUCAUAUAUCUCAUGGUGGUUGAUGGAGGGGCAGAUCGAAGAAUAACAGCAAUUUGCUUUGCUUUUACUGUAGACAUAAGGGACAUAUUCAAAAGGAUUGUGAUAAGAUGUAGGCUAAAAGUGAUUUAGCUGCAAAUUGUGGAGCGCAACCUUUGACUUCAGACAAAACAAAUGUAGUUGAGAAUUUUUCAAACGUCGGAGAUGUGAUGUUGAUCGUGAUUUCUGACGUGGAAUCUAGGCUUGACGAGGAGUGGAUUCUCGAUUCGGCGUGUUCGCAUCAUAUGUGUUCCAAUCGAAGUUUCUUUUAGACAUAUGAGGCUACUCAGCAAGGUAGUGUUGUAAUGAAAAAUAACUAGUCUUGUUGUAUUGUUGAGAUCAGUCGAGUCAGAUUUAGGUAGCAAGAUGGGACAGUCAGAACAAUUGAUCAGGUUCGACAUGUUCCAGACAUAAAAGUGAAUCUCAUCUCACUUAGUACUCUAGACGCAAAACGGUAUAAAUUCCCUGGUGGAGGUGGAGGUAGAGUUUGAAGGUCCGAAUGGGUGUUUGGGUUGCAUUGGAUGGACGGAAGAAGUCUCAUAUGUACAUCAUGCAGGGAAGCACGGAACCAGUUAAAAGACAUCGAGACAAGUUCAGUACCGUGGUAGAUAUUCAUUUUGGUACAGUAUAUAUUGUGAAGGGCUCUGGAUUGUUUCAGAACAUUGCUCAAGAAGCAUUAGUAAUUCCGCUUUGCCAACAAUUUCAGUGGAUACAUCGUGUUCAUUUGCUAGGGUUUGACUCAUAGAGCGUAGGUACCGUGGUGUCAAUAAAGACUGGAAUGCUUUUGGAGCCAUUGAAGGCGAUAGUUCUAGCAAUGGGUCUUCUAAUCGAGUAUGUGAUAUGGCUUCUGCUACAGGGUGUAUUUCAACCCUGUUUGGUUAACAGUAAUUCUUUAGUUGAAUUUUGGAAACUCAGGAUUUGGAGUCAGGUGUCGCUUGUAGAUGCCUUGCAGAGGACUAUGGUUUGGUUUGGAGAAUUUUGGUUACUGUAUUAAAGAGAUUGACUAUUUCGAUGCAAAUGGAUUUGAAAUCUUGGAGUUUCGUUCGUUGCACCGGAAUUUGGGUCAAUGUGGAAAUUGUUGGGUUUAUGACUCAAAUUAGGAUGGAUUUUUAUUUUUUUUUAUUUUUGAAAUAAAUGUUCCUUAUAUUUCGCAUGAUUUUCAUGGAAAUAUAUUAUUUUCUUAUUUUACUUUAUUUUCAUCUUUAUGCUAUACCACAUACUUAUAAAUAGUUGUAUUCUCUUUCACUUUUGUUCAAUCAAAAAUUGUUGAGUUAUUGUA